RNAcentral lists this ribosomal RNA (482 nucleotides) under uncultured bacterium. Its description in RNAcentral is "SSU rRNA". It matches the Rfam family "Bacterial small subunit ribosomal RNA", at positions 26 to 523 of the family's 1533-position model. The record is from RNAcentral.
AGGACGAACGCUGGCGGCGUGCUUAACACAUGCAAGUCGAACGGAAAGGCCCUUCGGGGUACUCGAGUGGCGAACGGGUGAGUAACACGUGGGUGAUCUGCCCUGCACUUUGGGAUAAGCCUGGGAAACUGGGUCUAAUACCGAAUAGGACCACGGCAUGCAUGUGCUGUGGUGGAAAGCUUUUGCGGUGUGGGAUGGGCCCGCGGCCUAUCAGCUUGUUGGUGGGGUGAUGGCCUACCAAGGCGACGACGGGUAGCCGGCCUGAGAGGGUGUCCGGCCACACUGGGACUGAGAUACGGCCCAGACUCCUACGGGAGGCAGCAGUGGGGAAUAUUGCACAAUGGGCGCAAGCCUGAUGCAGCGACGCCGCGUGGGGGAUGACGGCCUUCGGGUUGUAACCCUUUCAGUAGGGACGAAGCGCAAGUGACGGUACCUACAGAAGAAGCACCGGCCAACUACGCGCCACGCGACGCCGACGGUAA